Molecule: long non-coding RNA, 484 nt
Organism: Thalassophryne amazonica
Lineage: Eukaryota; Metazoa; Chordata; Actinopteri; Batrachoidiformes; Batrachoididae
Exons: 3
Source: RefSeq, a predicted model, not a curated record
CUGGUGGCUGUUUGUGCCCCCACAGGCAGAGCAGGAAACGCUGGGAGCAGUUUGUGCAGACAGAGAACCAGCACCUGGUGAGUCCUGAAGCGCUCGACCUGCUGGACAAGCUGCUACGCUACGACCACCAACAGAGGCUGACCGCCACCGAGGCCAUGGACCACCCAUACUUCUACCCAGUCGUGAAGGAGCAGUCUCUGUCCAACUCUGACAACAACAUGGUUUCCAGUGGCAACACGACAGCGCGAUGAAACCAGAUGUGGAAUCAGAAGGACGUUUGUUACCUCAACUUUGUACCCAGUUGUGACAGUAACUUUGACACGUGUACAGUGACGGUGGAUCAAAGUAAUUCUGACCAGUUGCAUACACACACACACACACACACGUGCACACACACUCCUCCUCUGUAUCGGUCUGUGUCAGUCUGGCUUUUCCUGAUUCUCCUGUCAAGCAGCCCGACCAAUGAGCUUGAAGCUGCCCCCCC